AGACAAAGAGCUACUCCACACUUCUCAC
Molecule: small RNA, 28 nt
Filed under: Bombyx mori (domestic silkworm)
Lineage: Eukaryota; Metazoa; Arthropoda; Insecta; Lepidoptera; Bombycidae
Description: piRNA piR-bmo-1927780
Source: RNAcentral